This 419-nucleotide ribosomal RNA is filed under the name uncultured trypanosome. RNAcentral's name for it is "eukaryotic LSU rRNA". It matches the Rfam family "Eukaryotic large subunit ribosomal RNA", at positions 62 to 436 of the family's 3401-position model. The record is from RNAcentral. Lineage: Eukaryota; Euglenozoa; Kinetoplastea; Trypanosomatida; Trypanosomatidae.
AAAACAACCGUGAUUCUCUCAGUGAGCGGCGAGCGAAGAGGGACCGAACUCGUUGCCGAAUCGGGUCUUACAAGGCCUUGAGUUGUGGCAAGAACGUAACUUCGUGGUUGGUGCAGGAGUGGCGAAAUUCAAGCGCAAAGCAAACCCAUUGCUGAAUACAACCCUUCAUGUGAGUAUUGAGCCAAAGAAGGUGUUAGCCCAUUGAGCCACAAACCUGAGCGCCUCACUAAGUUUACCAAGAGAGUAGCACUGUUUGGGAAUGCAGUGUCAAGCUGGCAGGUAUUUGUCUGCUAAAGUUAAUACAGAGUAGGAAGACCGAUAGCGAACAAGUAGCGUGAGCGAAAGUUUGAAAAGCACUUUGGAAAGAGAGUGACAUAGAACCUGAAAUCGUGACAAUGACAAUGGAAGUACCUCCAUUU